UGACAAGGAUAUCAAGAGAAUGAGAAUCAGCAGACAACCUCUAUCAUAAUCAUAGAUGAAAAAUCCUAACCAAUAUAUUAGCAAACUGAAUCAAGCUAUAUGUGAAAAGAAUAAUUUAAGUGUCGUGACCAAGUGAAGUUUAAAUCCAAGAGAAGGAAACUGUGAUUACAUAGCAAAAAAUGAGAUGUUUCAAAAUAAUUUUAAAUCAAUAUUUCUCUGGCUCAACAACUGAGAAAUGGCAUCUAAUAUGCAUGCUGCUGAAGUGGGGCUGGCAGUCAAGGUAAGCUCACCAGAACCCAGUCAAGGUAAGCUAACCAGAAGAGGAGGAGAGUGAGAGGAAGGAAAAACUGUGUCACUCAAGACCUACAUGACACCAGGAAAUAUACUGAAGUCAGACUUGACAUCACAUCAUUCAAAUAGGAGACUCACAAAGAAUAGAAUUUCUAGUCUGUUGUGAAAAAUUCCCGAGUAAAGCUUACAACAUAUA
This is a long non-coding RNA of Felis catus (domestic cat), 487 nucleotides long. RefSeq lists it as uncharacterized. The record is from RefSeq and is a predicted model, not a curated record. Lineage: Eukaryota; Metazoa; Chordata; Mammalia; Carnivora; Felidae. The transcript has 2 exons.